AGUCAAUUAGCUUAUAAAAAAGCAUUUACUUUGAAAGUAAAAGAAAGAGUCUAUUUAUUGGCUU
Molecule: transfer RNA, 64 nt
Filed under: Exitianus indicus
Lineage: Eukaryota; Metazoa; Arthropoda; Insecta; Hemiptera; Cicadellidae
Description: tRNA-Ser
Rfam family: tRNA
About the family: Transfer RNA (tRNA) molecules are approximately 80 nucleotides in length. Their secondary structure includes four short double-helical elements and three loops (D, anti-codon, and T loops). Further hydrogen bonds mediate the characteristic L-shaped molecular structure. tRNAs have two regions of fundamental functional importance: the anti-codon, which is responsible for specific mRNA codon recognition, and the 3' end, to which the tRNAs corresponding amino acid is attached (by aminoacyl-tRNA synthetases). tRNAs cope with the degeneracy of the genetic code in two manners: having more than one tRNA (with a specific anti-codon) for a particular amino acid; and 'wobble' base-pairing, i.e. permitting non-standard base-pairing at the 3rd anti-codon position.
Source: RNAcentral